This 785-nucleotide long non-coding RNA is filed under the name Drosophila melanogaster (fruit fly). RNAcentral's name for it is "antisense RNA:CR45270 (Dmel_CR45270)". Lineage: Eukaryota; Metazoa; Arthropoda; Insecta; Diptera; Drosophilidae. The record is from RNAcentral.
GGAUACAAAGAUGCACUUUCUGAAAACUAUUCCGCGGUUAAGCAGUUCAGAUAAUUAAUAUAGUUCAACUCUUAAUUCUUAUAUAAAAUACUGUUGAUAGGUUUCCUAUACACAAGCUAAAUCACUAAAGCACUUUGUAUGAUUAAAUAUUAAAAAAAUUUACGAAUAUUGCAUAUAUUUAACAUAAAAUCAAAUAAAUCAACUCGAAUUGUUAGCACUGUGAAAUGAAGGAUUUUUUUCUCCGUGUGGCAUACAUACGUAAAAUAGUUGUGCAUGUACCACAAUCGAAAACGCCAAGUAGCUGCCGUGCCGCCGCAGCCUCCGCCGCUCUCUGUUCCGUUCUCUCGGCCUGGCUUUCGGUUAACCUCAGUCGGGCUCCUACAACCUCACCUCGCCAGGCGGCGCGGCAAUCAGCGCUGUGUCGUGUGGAUCGGCGGACGAACCGACGGACGGUGCUUGUGUGCUUUCCGCCAUGGUAAAGGGUGACUCCCCCCAGCUUCCUUUCCUCCGAGCUCCCCCCACUUGGAUCCCGCACUCACCAAUUCACGUUGUUUGUCUUUUGGCGCUGCGCACGCGUGGAACUGUGGUUAAGAACGUAAAGCAGCGGGCGCUAGUUUUCACUGAAGCACUAGACAUUCUACGCAAUGUAAAAUAUUUAUGUAAAAUGCAAUUUUACAGUAAAUAUUUAAAAAGUACAUUCAUGAUGAUAAGUAACAAUAAAUAAAGAUAAAAUUAAAAAUAUUUAAUGUAAUAUGUUGAGUUCCAGGAGCCCAAUUACAAACACU